RNAcentral lists this ribosomal RNA (253 nucleotides) under uncultured bacterium. RNAcentral's name for it is "partial 16S ribosomal RNA". It matches the Rfam family "Bacterial small subunit ribosomal RNA", at positions 524 to 776 of the family's 1533-position model. The record is from RNAcentral.
UAUGAAGGGGGCUAGCGUUGCUCGGAAUUACUGGGCGUAAAGGGCGCGUAGGCGGCACUGUUAGUCAGGCGUGAAAUUCCUGGGCUCAACCUGGGGACUGCGCUUGAUACGGCAGAGCUUGAGGAUGGAAGAGGGUCGCGGAAUUCCCAGUGUAGAGGUGAAAUUCGUAGAUAUCAGGAGGAACACCUGUGGCGAAGGCGGCCAUCUGGACGGUGACUGACGCUGAGACGCGAAAGCGUGGGUAGCAAACAGG